AACGAACGCUGGCGGCAUGCCUAACACAUGCAAGUCGAACGAGACCUUCGGGUCCAGUGGCGCACGGGUGCGUAACGCGUGGGAACCUGCCCUUAGGUUCGGAAUAACUCCCCGAAAGGGGUGCUAAUACCGGAUAAUGUCUUCGGCCCAAAGAUUUAUCGCCUUUGGAUGGGCCCGCGUUGGAUUAGCUAGUUGGUAGGGUAAAAGCCUACCAAGGCGACGAACCAUAGCUGGUCUGAGAGGAAGAUCAGCCACACUGGGAGUGAGACACGGCCCAGACUCCUACGGGAGGCAGCAGAGGGGAAUAUUGCACAAUGGGCGAAAGCCUGAUCCAGCUAUGCCGCGUGAGUGAUGAAGGCCGUAGGGUUGUAAAGCUCUUUUACCCGGGAUGAUAAUGACAGUACCGAGAGAAUAAGCUCCGGCUAACUCCGUG
This 433-nucleotide ribosomal RNA is filed under the name uncultured bacterium. RNAcentral describes it as "partial 16S ribosomal RNA". It matches the Rfam family "Bacterial small subunit ribosomal RNA", at positions 29 to 507 of the family's 1533-position model. The record is from RNAcentral.